UACGUAGGGUGCAAGCGUGAAUCGGAAUUACUGGGCGUAAAGCGCGCGUAGGCGGCUUUGCAAGUCGGGUGUGAAAUCCACAGGCUCAACCUGGGAACUGCAUUCGAGACUGCAUUGCUAGAGUAUGGGAGAGGGAAGUGGAGUUUCCGGUGUAGCGGUGAAAUGCGUAGAUAUCGGAAGGAACAUCAGUGGCGAAAGCGACUUCCUGGACCCAUACUGACGCUCAUGUGCGAAAGCGUGGGGAGCAAACAGG
This 253-nucleotide unclassified non-coding RNA is filed under the name uncultured Gammaproteobacteria bacterium. Its description in RNAcentral is "contains 16S-23S intergenic spacer region". It matches the Rfam family "Bacterial small subunit ribosomal RNA", at positions 524 to 776 of the family's 1533-position model. The record is from RNAcentral. Lineage: Bacteria; Pseudomonadati; Pseudomonadota; Gammaproteobacteria.